Molecule: ribosomal RNA, 253 nt
Filed under: uncultured bacterium
Lineage: Bacteria
Also listed under: 1 other name
Description: partial 16S ribosomal RNA
Rfam family: Bacterial small subunit ribosomal RNA
Source: RNAcentral
UACGUAGGGAGCGAGCGUUAUCCGGAUUUAUUGGGUGUAAAGGGUGCGUAGACGGGAAUACAAGUUAGUUGUGAAAUACCUCGGCUUAACUGAGGAACUGCAACUAAAACUAUAUUUCUUGAGUACAGGAGAGGUAAGUGGAAUUCCUAGUGUAGCGGUGAAAUGCGUAGAUAUUAGGAGGAACACCAGUGGCGAAGGCGACUUACUGGACUGAAACUGACGUUGAGGCACGAAAGUGUGGGGAGCAAACAGG